AUAUAUUUAAAUGCCAUUUAACAAAGAAAAAUCAACCAAAAAAAUGAGUUCACGUGUCACCUCUGACACGCGUGUCAUAGGUUCGCCAUCACUGCUGUAGGGUCUCGGAUGGUAUCCAAGGUCUCUUCGGGUGAAGGUAAGUCUGGGUUUCUGAUUAGAGCCGCUCUCCCCUUCAAGAUGGUGAGGUCUUUGUGGCAGAGCUGGCCACCCAGGAGAGAUUUCAGCAGUAGUAGAGGGUGCCCAGCCAGGGAAGCCUAGUCCACCAGUCCCUGACAGUCCUGUGGAAUAUAACUGUCCCUCACUCACUCAUACACGCACUCCCUGCAUGUCCAUGCACUCUCCUUUUGCUCUACCACUCACUCAAACUGUCUCCCUCACUGCCGUGCUGUUGGCCUGCCAUCUUGGAUCCUCCUUGAGCAUUUUUAAAAAAUAGAAAUAAAUUCGGACUUCACACACAAAAAAAUAAAUAAAUAAAAAUAAAGUGUACAACCUAAUGGUUUGAUGUACAUUGUGAGAGAAUUCCCCCAGUAAGUUAAUGAACACAUGAUUUGCAUCUUUUGCCAUGGCCGCAUGGCUUAGGUGGUUGGAGCAUCGUCCCAUACACCAAAAAGUUAUGGGUUUGACACUUGAUCGAGGGCACAUACCUAGGUUGCAGGUUGGAUCCCCAGUCGGGGUGUGUAUGAAAGGCAACUGAUCGAUGUUUCUAUCACAUCAAUGUUUUUUUUCUCUCGCCCCCGUCCUUUUUAAAAUAAAUUUAAAAAGAAAAAAGAAAAAAAAAGAAAAAAAACCCUCCCUCUAUCUUUUUUCCUUCAUGAGUCUGGUUAUAGGUUUGUCCAUCUUGUUUAUCUUUUGCAAGAACCAGAUCUUGGUUUUAUUGAUUUCAUUGUAUUUUUCAAGACUCUAUUUCAUUUAUUUCCACUCUGAUCUUCAUUAUAUAUCCUUUUGUCUACUUACUUAGGGCCUUGUUUAUUGUUCUUUCUCUAGCUCCUUUAGGUGUAAGUUUAGAUGGCAUAUUUGAAAUUUUUCUUGCUUCUGGAGGUUGGUCUAUAUUGCUGUGAAUUUCCCUCUUAGGACUGCUUUUGGUGUGUUCCAUAGAUUUUGUGUUGUUGUGUUCUUAUUUUCAUUUUUCUCAAGGUUACCUACUAUGUAACAUAUAGAUGUUCGUGUUUUUAUUUAAUCAUCAUACCACCAGUGGGCUCAUCCAGGGGACCCCGAUCUGGGCUGGCCCUUGCAUCGAUCUCCAGCAUUUUCUAGCAGGUUCUCUGAGAAUCCCUGCAGCAGCCUCCGGAGACGUUCCCAGACUCCGACAGUGGCACUCACCUGCUUUUGACAAAAAGUGCUCCCUUCUCGAGUCUCCCUGAUUGAGGGAAGCAUCCUUCCUGAUUGAGGCGGUGCUGAGAAGGGGUUCAAAGACCUGACAUUGUGCUGCUAGGCUUGUAGGAUCCACUGUUUCACCUUAAGAUUGUGGACAUGAGCUGCAGCCGCCAGCCAUGCUUCCUGCCUGUGACCCAGGGACAGUCAAGGACAGAUGGCUGACAGCAACCACGGGUAGGGUUCAGUCCUGAAGGGGUUUUUGCAACCAUUGCGACUAGGUCAUUGGUCGCUGCUCUCCUCGGGCAGUCCCUCCAUGUGAACUGCUCACUGCAUAGCUCCGCCCUUCCAGGCCACGGAGCUCUGGACACAGAGCCCUGGACACAGAACCCAGCAGGAUUCAAUGGUCGUGGAAAAAGUGCAAUAAAAUUCAAAAUGCGUGUUAUGCCAAAAAAAUCAUCAUACAACUCAUCUCACAGAUGGAAAUAUUAAAGACCUCUAGAAGGAAGUAAACAGCAGUUAUCAGUAUUGGCAACAAACUUGAUGUCAACAUUUCUCAAGAGAAAGUUCCACAAAGGAGUGAAAGAAGAGAUAUUAUCAUCAAUGAGUAACUCUUUGUGAGGUACCUACUGCCCAUUGGAAAAUGCUUUAUAAACCUCAGGACAGUU
This is a long non-coding RNA of Myotis lucifugus (little brown bat), 1979 nucleotides long. RefSeq lists it as uncharacterized. The transcript has 2 exons. NCBI's taxonomy places the organism in Eukaryota, Metazoa, Chordata, Mammalia, Chiroptera, Vespertilionidae. The record is from RefSeq and is a predicted model, not a curated record.